GCCUACGGGGGGCAGCAGUAGGGAAUUUUCGUCAAUGGGCGCAAGCCUGAACGAGCAAUGCCGCGUGAACGAGGAAGGUCUUCGGAUCGUAAAGUUCUGUUGAAGGGGAAAAAGAGCGGAGAGAGGAAAUGGUCUCCGAUUAAUAUUACCCUUCGAGGAAGUCACGGCUAACUACGUGCCAGCAGCCGCGGUAAUACGUAGGUGGCGAGCGUUAUCCGGAAUGAUUGGGCGUAAAGGGUGCGUAGGCGGCCUGCUAAGUCUGGAGUGAAAGGUACCGGCUCAACCGGUACAGGCUCUGGAAACUG
This 305-nucleotide ribosomal RNA is filed under the name uncultured bacterium. RNAcentral's name for it is "bacterial SSU rRNA". It matches the Rfam family "Bacterial small subunit ribosomal RNA", at positions 337 to 635 of the family's 1533-position model. The record is from RNAcentral.